UCCAGGGUAGCCUAGUGGACAUGGCAUCUGCCCAGUAAACGGAACACUGUGGGUUCGAUUCCCAUCCUUGGAC
Molecule: transfer RNA, 73 nt
Filed under: Cordylochernes scorpioides
Lineage: Eukaryota; Metazoa; Arthropoda; Arachnida; Pseudoscorpiones; Chernetidae
Description: tRNA-Thr
Rfam family: tRNA
About the family: Transfer RNA (tRNA) molecules are approximately 80 nucleotides in length. Their secondary structure includes four short double-helical elements and three loops (D, anti-codon, and T loops).
Source: RNAcentral